This 497-nucleotide ribosomal RNA is filed under the name uncultured bacterium. RNAcentral describes it as "partial 16S ribosomal RNA". It matches the Rfam family "Bacterial small subunit ribosomal RNA", at positions 28 to 507 of the family's 1533-position model. The record is from RNAcentral.
GAUGAACGCUGGCGGCGUGCCUAAUACAUGCAAGUCGAGCGAACAGACGAGGAGCUUGCUCCUCUGACGUUAGCGGCGGACGGGUGAGUAACACGUGGAUAACCUACCUAUAAGACUGGGAUAACUUCGGGAAACCGGAGCUAAUACCGGAUAAUAUCUUGAACCGCAUGGUUCCAUAGUGAAAGACGGUUUUGCUGUCACUUAUAGAUGGAUCCGCGCCGCAUUAGCUAGUUGGUAAGGUAACGGCUUACCAAGGCGACGAUGCGUAGCCGACCUGAGAGGGUGAUCGGCCACACUGGAACUGAGACACGGUCCAGACUCCUACGGGAGGCAGCAGUAGGGAAUCUUCCGCAAUGGGCGAAAGCCUGACGGAGCAACGCCGCGGGAGUGAUGAAGGUCUUCGGAUCGUAAAACUCUGUUAUUAGGGAAGAACAAAUGUGUAAGUAACUAUGCACGUCUUGACGGUACCGAAUCAGAAAGCCACGGCUAACUACGUG